Molecule: ribosomal RNA, 494 nt
Filed under: uncultured bacterium
Lineage: Bacteria
Description: partial 16S ribosomal RNA
Rfam family: Bacterial small subunit ribosomal RNA
Source: RNAcentral
GACGAACGCUGGCGGCGCGCUUAACACAUGCAAGUCGAACGGAAAGGCCUGCUUUCCCUUGUGGAUUGCGGGUACUCGAGUGGCGAACGGGUGAGUAACACGUGAGUUAUCUGCCCCCAACUUUGGUAUAAGCCUGGGAAACUGGGUCUAAUUCCCGAUAGGACUGCAGGGUGGUGCCUGUGGUUGAAAACGAUUUUCUAGUGGUUGGGGAUGAGCUCGCGGCCUAUCAGCUUGUUGGUGGGGUAAUGGCCUACCAAGGCGGGGACGGGUAGCCGGCCUGGGAGGGCGGACGGGCACAGUGGGACUGGGAGACGGCCCCGACGCCUACGGGAGGCAGCAGGCGGGAAUAAGACGCGAUGGGCGGAAGCCUGAGGCAGCGAGGCCGCGGGGGGGAUGACGGCCUUCGGGUUGUAAACUCCUUUCGACCGCGAGGAAGCCACCUGGUUGGAAGGGUGGUGACGGUAGUGGUAGAAGAAGCACCGGCUAACUACGUG